Molecule: ribosomal RNA, 760 nt
Filed under: uncultured Prevotella sp.
Lineage: Bacteria; Pseudomonadati; Bacteroidota; Bacteroidia; Bacteroidales; Prevotellaceae
Description: bacterial SSU rRNA
Rfam family: Bacterial small subunit ribosomal RNA
Source: RNAcentral
GAUGAACGCUGGCUACAGGCUUAACACAUGCAAGUCGAGGGGAAACGACGGGGAAGCUUGCUUCCCCGGGCGUCGACCGGCGCACGGGUGAGUAACGCGUAUCCAACCUGCCUCUGACUGAGGGAUAACCCGUCGAAAGUCGGCCUAAUACCUCAUGGCAUCGUCUGCGGGCAUCCAACGACGAUUAAAGAUUUCAUCGGUCAGGGAUGGGGAUGCGUCUGAUUAGUUAGUUGGUGGGGUAACGGCCCACCAAGGCGACGAUCAGUAGGGGUUCUGAGAGGAAGGUCCCCCACAUUGGAACUGAGACACGGUCCAAACUCCUACGGGAGGCAGCAGUGAGGAAUAUUGGUCAAUGGGCGAGAGCCUGAACCAGCCAAGUAGCGUGCAGGAUGACGGCCCUAUGGGUUGUAAACUGCUUUUAUGCGGGGAUAAAGUGAGGGACGUGUCCUUCAUUGCAGGUACCGCAUGAAUAAGGACCGGCUAAUUCCGUGCCAGCAGCCGCGGUAAUACGGAAGGUCCGGGCGUUAUCCGGAUUUAUUGGGUUUAAAGGGAGCGUAGGCCGUGGAUUAAGCGUGUUGUGAAAUGCAGGUGCUCAACGUCUGCACUGCAGCGCGAACUGGUCCACUUGAGUGUGCACAACGCAGGCGGAAUUCGUCGUGUAGCGGUGAAAUGCUUAGAUAUGACGAAGAACUCCGAUUGCGAAGGCAGCUUGCGGGAGCACAACUGACGCUGAAGCUCGAAAGUGCGGGUAUCGAACAGG